RNAcentral lists this ribosomal RNA (470 nucleotides) under Neisseria weaveri. RNAcentral describes it as "bacterial SSU rRNA". It matches the Rfam family "Bacterial small subunit ribosomal RNA", at positions 9 to 475 of the family's 1533-position model. Lineage: Bacteria; Pseudomonadati; Pseudomonadota; Betaproteobacteria; Neisseriales; Neisseriaceae. The record is from RNAcentral.
GAGUUUGAUUCUGGCUCAGAUUGAACGCUGGCGGCAUGCUUUACACAUGCAAGUCGGACGGCAGCACAGAGAAGCUUGCUUCUUGGGUGGCGAGUGGCGAACGGGUGAGUAAUAUAUUGGAACGUACCGAGUAAUGGGGGAUAACUUGCCGAAAGGUAAGCUAAUACCGCAUACGCUCUGAGGAGGAAAGCAGGGGACCUUCGGGCCUUGCGUUAUUCGAGCGGCCAAUAUCUGAUUAGCUAGUUGGUGGGGUAAAGGCCUACCAAGGCGACGAUCAGUAGCGGGUCUGAGAGGAUGAUCCGCCACACUGGGACUGAGACACGGCCCAGACUCCUACGGGAGGCAGCAGUGGGGAAUUUUGGACAAUGGGCGCAAGCCUGAUCCAGCCAUGCCGCGUGUCUGAAGAAGGCCUUCGGGUUGUAAAGGACUUUUGUCAGGGAAGAAAAGGUUGUGGCUAAUAUCCAUGACUG